AUUGAACGCUGGCGGCAGGCCUAACACAUGCAAGUCGAACGGUAACAGGAAGCAGCUUGCUGCUUCGCUGACGAGUGGCGGACGGGUGAGUAAUGUCUGGGAAACUGCCUGAUGGAGGGGGAUAACUACUGGAAACGGUAGCUAAUACCGCAUAACGUCGCAAGACCAAAGAGGGGGACCUUAGGGCCUCUUGCCAUCGGAUGUGCCCAGAUGGGAUUAGCUAGUAGGUGGGGUAACGGCUCACCUAGGCGACGAUCCCUAGCUGGUCUGAGAGGAUGACCAGCCACACUGGAACUGAGACACGGUCCAGACUCCUACGGGAGGCAGCAGUGGGGAAUAUUGCACAAUGGGCGCAAGCCUGAUGCAGCCAUGCCGCGCGUAUGAAGAAGGCCUUCGGGUUGUAAAGUACCUUCAGCGGGGAGGAAGGGAGUAAAGUUAAUACCUUUGCUCAUUGACGUUACCCGCAGAAGAAGCACCGGCUAACUCCGUG
Molecule: ribosomal RNA, 490 nt
Filed under: uncultured bacterium
Lineage: Bacteria
Description: partial 16S ribosomal RNA
Rfam family: Bacterial small subunit ribosomal RNA
Source: RNAcentral